Molecule: ribosomal RNA, 270 nt
Filed under: uncultured bacterium
Lineage: Bacteria
Description: partial 16S ribosomal RNA
Rfam family: Bacterial small subunit ribosomal RNA
Source: RNAcentral
UUAUUUUAGCGGCGGACGGGUGAGUAACGUGUGGGCAACCUACCUUUUACUGUGGAAUAAUCGUUGGAAACGACGACUAAUACCGCAUACGGGUUCUUGGAAGGCAUCUUCUAAGAAAGAAAGGAGUAAUUCGGUAAAAGAUGGGCCCGCAUCUGAUUAGCUAGUUGGUGAGAUAAUAGCCCACCAAGGCAACGAUCAGUAGCCGACCUGAGAGGGUGACCGGCCACAUUGGGACUGAGACACGGCCCAAACUCCUACGGAAGGCAGCAG